Molecule: long non-coding RNA, 415 nt
Organism: Canis lupus familiaris (dog)
Lineage: Eukaryota; Metazoa; Chordata; Mammalia; Carnivora; Canidae
Exons: 3
Source: RefSeq, a predicted model, not a curated record
CUUACACAACUAAUAUUACCCAUAAUGAUAGCCCCCACUCGCUCAGCAACAUCUGUGUUCCAGGCACCGUUUUAAGGAAGUUAAAUAGAUUAUUUAAUCCCUACAGGCAUUUUCAUUAUCCUUACUGACAUGCAGAGAAACACAGACACGGGAGUACUGGCAGCUGGCCAUGACGAGGCAGAAGAGGAGCACCCACACGUCUUUGCAGAAGCCUUGGUUCAAUGUCAGAAAGCCGAGGAGCGAGACCAGCACAAUGAGUAAAACUGCCAGCACGUUCUCCUUGACAUCUUCAGUUCUGCAUAAAAUAAACAAAUAAAAACAAAGGAAAUAAAAGAUGCUGUGUGAGUUAAAAACAUCAGAGCUGGGGCAGCCACAUUGUCACCAUGAGAAACAAGGCUGAGGAGACCACAGCUGA